This 348-nucleotide ribosomal RNA is filed under the name uncultured eukaryote. Its description in RNAcentral is "partial 18S ribosomal RNA". It matches the Rfam family "Eukaryotic small subunit ribosomal RNA", at positions 592 to 977 of the family's 1831-position model. The record is from RNAcentral.
CAAUAGCGUAUAUUAAAGUUGUUGCGGUUAAAAAGCUCGUAGUUGGAUUUUAUUCACUGAGACUAGCAGCAAUGCCAGUUACGGUGAAUAUAGGCAUUUGAGGCUUCGGUCUCUUUUGCCAUUUUUACUUUGAGGAAAUUAGAGUGUUUCACGCAGGCACCUGCCGUGAAUAUAUUAGCAUGGAAUAAUGAAAUACGACGAUUAUUCGAUUUCGUUGGUUUAUUGAAAGAUCGUAAUGAUAAAUAGGGACAGUCAGGGGCAUUCGUAUUUAACUGUCAGAGGUGGAAUUCUUGGAUUUGUUAAAGACGCACUACUGCGAAAGCAUUUGCCAGGGAUGUUUUCAUUGAC